This 497-nucleotide ribosomal RNA is filed under the name uncultured bacterium. RNAcentral's name for it is "partial 16S ribosomal RNA". It matches the Rfam family "Bacterial small subunit ribosomal RNA", at positions 28 to 507 of the family's 1533-position model. The record is from RNAcentral.
GAUGAACGCUGGCGGCGUGCCUAAUACAUGCAAGUCGAGCGAACAGAUGAGGAGCUUGCUCCUCUGACGUUAGCGGCGGACGGGUGAGUAACACGUGGAUAACCUACCUAUAAGACUGGGAUAACUUCGGGAAACCGGAGCUAAUACCGGAUAAUAUAUUGAACCGCAUGGUUCAAUAGUGAAAGACGGUUUUGCUGUCACUUAUAGAUGGAUCCGCGCCGCAUUAGCUAGUUGGUAAGGUAACGGCUUACCAAGGCAACGAUGCGUAGCCGACCUGAGAGCGUGAUCGGCCACACUGGAACUGAGACACGGUCCAGACUCCUACGGGAGGCAGCAGUAGGGAAUCCUCCGCAAUGGGCGAAAGACUGACGGAGCAACGCCGCGUGAGUGAUGAAGGUCUUCGGAGCGUAAAACUCUGUUAUUAGGGAAGAACAAAUGUGUAAGUAACUAUGCAUGUCUUGACGGUACCUAAUCAGAAAGCCACGGCUAACUACGUG